This 67-nucleotide non-coding RNA is filed under the name Alicyclobacillus hesperidum. Its description in RNAcentral is "Fluoride sequence". It matches the Rfam family "Fluoride riboswitch aptamer (crcB RNA motif)". The record is from Rfam by way of RNAcentral. Lineage: Bacteria; Bacillati; Bacillota; Bacilli; Caryophanales; Alicyclobacillaceae.
CAAUUUGUUGGUGAUGGAGCUCACCAGAACCGUCCACCUGACGUGGACUGAUAGCCCCUACCCGUGU